UGGGGAAUCUUGCGCAAUGGGCGAAAGCCUGACGCAGCGACGCCGCGUGGGGGAUGAAGGCCCUCGGGUUGUAAACCCCUUUCGGCAGGGACGAAGCGUUUCGUGACGGUACCUGCAGAAGAAGCCCCGGCUAACUACGUGCCAGCAGCCGCGGUAAGACGUAGGGGGCGAGCGUUGUCCGGAUUCAUUGGGCGUAAAGAGCGCGUAGGCGGCUUGGUAAGUCGGGUGUGAAAUCCUGGGGCUCAACCCCGGAACUGCACCCGAAACUGCCCGGCUAGAGGUAGGUAGGGGAGAUCGGAAUUCCUGGUGUAGCGGUGAAAUGCGCAGAUAUCAGGAGGAACACCGGUGGCGAAGGCGGAUCUCUGGGCCUUACCUGACGCUGAGGCGCGAAAGCUAGGGGAGCGAACAG
RNAcentral lists this ribosomal RNA (409 nucleotides) under uncultured bacterium. RNAcentral describes it as "bacterial SSU rRNA". It matches the Rfam family "Bacterial small subunit ribosomal RNA", at positions 355 to 775 of the family's 1533-position model. The record is from RNAcentral.